RNAcentral lists this unclassified non-coding RNA (3705 nucleotides) under Hevea brasiliensis (rubber tree). Lineage: Eukaryota; Viridiplantae; Streptophyta; Magnoliopsida; Malpighiales; Euphorbiaceae. The record is from RNAcentral.
AAAAAAAGUUAGCCUUCCUCCCAUUGAUUCUAUCUUCAUUAUUAACCUUCUUCCCAUUCAUUCUCCCUUCUUUCUCUCUAUUAAUUCUUGUGAUACUAUCAGAAUGGCAGACAUAGUGCUUUCACCAGUUCUACAGGUGAUUUUUGACAGAUUAGCAUCUCCAAUCCUACAAGCGCUUGGUGACAGAUGGGAUCUCAAAGAUAACUUCCAGAAUCUACAGCAAGCCUUAUUAAUGGCACAAGCGGUUCUUGAAGAGGCAGAAGACCAACAGGUCACUAAUAAAGCCGUCAAAACUUGGCUGUUAAGACUUAAGACUGCAGCUUAUGAUGCUGAAGACCUUCUUGACAAGCUUGCAGCUCAUCUGAAGAAAUCUGAAGCACAGGAAGCACAUGUUUCUAGCUUCUUUGAUGCAAAAAAGAUUGUAUUGGAAGCAGAUGAGGUCAGAAAGAAGCUUCGGGAACUGCAAAUGGUAGCAAUGGAGGGUUCUAACUUCCAUCUUCAACAGGACAAUAUGGCAGCACCUAGUCAAUUUGAUGAGAGAGAAACAGGUUGUUUUGUUAUUGAAUCAGAAAUCUAUGGAAGAAACAAAGAUAAGAAGGAGAUAGUAAAACUGUUAUUGUCUCGUGAAGAAACCGACAGAGGAAAUUUGUCCUUUAUUCCGAUCAUUGGAAUGAGAGGACUCGGCAAGACAACUCUUGCUCAGUUCGCAUAUAAUGAUGAUGAGGUGACACAACAAUUUGAUGUUAAAAUAUGGGUUUUUGUAUCUGUUGAUUUUGAUGCAAAAAGGAUAAUAAAGGAAGCUAUUGAGUCUGUAACAAUGGAGAAAUGUGAUAGUUUGGCGAUAAAUGUGCUUCAGUCGAAGCUCUGGGCAUUGCUGCAAAGGAAAAGGUUCUUAUUUGUGUUGGAUGAUGUUUGGACAGAAGAUCAAAAGGCAUGGGACAGACUAAAGCCUCUAUUCAUGGGUGGCAUGUGUGGGAGUAAAAUCAUUAUCACUACCCGCAACAAAAAAGUUGCACUUGCAACAACCUCCCCAACUUAUCCAUACUAUUUGAAAGAACUGGACGAGGAUGAUUGCUGGAAGUUGUUCAAGCAUCAAGCUUUCCCGCAAGGAGAAGAAAUUAAGUAUCAGAACCUGGCACCUAUAGGAAAGGAGAUCAUUAAGAAAUGUGGUGGUGUUCCACUAGCGGUAAAAGCUUUGGGAAUUUUGAUGCGCUUUAAGAAACAGGAAAGGGAGUGGCUAUUUGUUCAAAACAGUGACCUCUGGAAUUUAGAUGUCUACCAUAAAGAAAUUUUACCUGCCAUGAAAUCCAGUUACCUUCUUUUACCAUCUCACCUCAAACACUGCUUUGCUUUCUGCUCAGUUUUCCCCAGAGGAUAUGAAAUCAAGAAGGAGAAACUAAUCCAAAUGUGGAUGGCAGAAGGGUUAAUUCGAUCUGAUGGAGCAAAACCGCUUGAGGACAUCGGCGAAGAGUAUUUCCAGGAUUUAAUGUGGAUGUCUUUCUUCCAAGAUUCAGGAUAUUCUGACAAUGGUGACAUAAGUGGAUACAGAAUGCACCAUAUCAUUCACGACCUGGCACAAUCUGUUGCAGGAAAUGAGUCUACUAUUCUAGAGAAAGGUCUUCCAUCAGGUAGCCUUACUCAAACUCGCCACGCUUCUGUGAUUUGUGAUUUUAAGUAUCCUAAAAUCCUUCAAGCUUUGUCUGAUGCAAAACAUUUGCGAACUCUCAUACUGUUUCCUGGAGGUGACACCAUAGAGUAUCCUGAUCAAUUGUUUGCAACUUCUUCAUUUUUGCGUGUCCUAGAUAUGAAUGCAUCUGGCCUUCAUUACCUUGUUCACUCAAUUGGUAACUGCCUGUGCUUGAGAUAUCUUGAUCUUUCAUACACGCCGAUCAGGUUCUUGCCUCAUGGUAGUGUUGAGCAACUACCAUUUUUGCAAACAUUGAAUCUUUGCGGUUGCUUUAACCUCAAGGAAUUGCCUGUUAUCGCAAAAAUGAUAAGCCUAAGACAUCUCGAUAUAACUGGAUGUGAAUCACUGACUGCCAUGUCGCCUUUUUUUGUUGCAUUGUAUGAAAAUUAUGGACGUUCCUUCAGUAGGACAGCCCAACAUGAAAAAGUCAUUAGCUCAACAUUUCUCCCUGGAUUCUCUGCUCAGCUGCAUACGUGUCCAACAAUUAUGGUUGGUGGUUUUCUAGACCUCAUGUUUCUGGGAAGGUUAAACCUUCGCGGUGAGCUAAAGAUCAUACAUUUGGAGAAUGUGAGUAAUUCAAAUGAUACAGAGAAUGCCAAUUUGAUGGAGAAAGACAACCUUGAUUCUUUAGGACUAUACUGGGGGGAGAAACAUGACAGUUCCACCCUAAACCCGAUAGAACAGCAUCAUUCAUCUGGAUCAUCAGAGCAGCACCAAACUGAUGCUAAUGCAGCAGAAGAAGUUGCCAAAGGCCUCCAUCCGCACCAAAAUUUGAAGCUACUAGUUGUGAAAGGGUAUCCAGGAAAAAGAUUUCCGCAUUGGAUGCUUCCGAAUCUAACAAAGGUUGAUUUGAGAGAUUGCCUGAAUUGCAGUUGUCUUCCUGUCCUAGGGAAUCUACUAUUUCUUAGGACACUCUUCCUGCAUGGAAUGCCUUCUCUGAAACAUAUUGGGCCAGAGUUCUAUGGUGAAGACACCAGGCAACUGUUCCCUUCACUUGAAGAGCUUGUUCUCAGUGAUUUCAUUAUUCUGCAAGAAUGGCUUGGUCCAGAUGGCAAAGAUGCAUUCCCUAAGUUGAGCAAAUUAAUUGUCAAGAAAUGUCCCAAGCUGACUUCAAUGCCAUUACUUGCCUCUCUUCAACACUUGGAAUUACGGGAGUGUAGUGCAGUUCUGUUUAAUUCCAUUAGGUGUGCAUCCUCUCUUACAGUUCUUGCUGUUGAGAAAAUACCAGACUUUUCACCCUUAUCAGGAGGGAGCAUUGUAAACAAUACUCUUCUUUCUUCUUUGGAGAUCAUAGCUUGCCCAGGGCUUUGUUUUCUGCCAUCAGAGUCGGGAAACCUCACUGCUCUGAAGUCAUUGAAAAUUCAUUGGUGUGAAGAGCUCUCCUCUUUCCGACAAGGUUUCCAGAAUCUUAAGGCUCUAGAAUUCUUAGAAAUUUGUGAUUGUCACGGUAUAAUUUCUAUACCAGAGGGGAUUGAAAGUUUGAGUUCCCUCAGAAGUUUGUCCAUAGAAAACUGUGAUAAUUUGACAUCAUUACCAUUGAGUUUGAAAAAUCUCACAUGUCUUGAGCACUUGACCAUCAUGAACUGUCCAAAGCUUGUGUCUUUGCCAGCGGACAUGCAUCAACUUUCUGCUCUUCAAAGUUUGACCAUCUUAAGCUGUCCCCAGGUUUUAUCUCUGCCUGAAGAGUUGCAAUAUAUCACAACAAUGCAUUGAGGAGUUGUGCUGGCCUAACAGCUUCGCCAGAAUGGAUUAGGUGCAUAAUCUCUCCAAAGUUGUUGGCACAGAUUUUUCCUUGGACUUUUCUAGGGCUGUACUCAAAUUUUUUGCUUAGAUUUAUCUUGAACUAGAUAUUUACACGCGCAAAUUUUUAUUUUUUUUAAUUAUUAUUGUAUAAAAUUGUGCACAAUUUUAUUUUUAAUUAUUUAUGCUUAUGGAUUUCAAAUUUAAGAAUUAUUGUUAUUUCUUUUUUGCAAUUGUAAUUUAUAAAUAUAGAUUUGUAUGAUAAUUGUGAUAUAUUA